GCGAGCGGGAAGAGCUCAAAUUUAUAAUCUGGCACCUUCGGUGUCCGAGUUGUAAUCUCUAGAAGUGUUUUCCGCGUUGGACCGCACACAAGUCUGUUGGAAUACAGCGGCAUAGUGGUGAGACCCCCGUAUAUGGUGCGGACGCCCAACGCUUUGUGAUACACUUUCGAAGAGUCGAGUUGUUUGGGAAUGCAGCUCAAAUUGGGUGGUAAAUUCCAUCUAAAGCUAAAUAUUGGCGAGAGACCGAUAGCGAACAAGUACCGUGAGGGAAAGAUGAAAAGCACUUUGGAAAGAGAGUUAACAGUACGUGAAAUUGUUGGAAGGGAAACGCUUGAAGUCAGACUUGCUUGCCGAGCAAUCGGUUUGCAGGCCAGCAUCAGUUUUCCGGGGUGGAUAAUGGUAGAGAGAAGGUAGCAGUUUCGGCUGUGUUAUAGCUCUUUGCUGGAUACACCUUGGGGGACUGAGGAACGCAGUGUGCCUUACGGCGGAUUUCUCGAGAUCUUCACACUUAGGAUGCUGGUGGAAUGGCUUUAAACGACCCGUCUUGAACCACGGACC
Molecule: ribosomal RNA, 558 nt
Filed under: Rhodotorula taiwanensis
Lineage: Eukaryota; Fungi; Basidiomycota; Microbotryomycetes; Sporidiobolales; Sporidiobolaceae
Description: eukaryotic LSU rRNA
Rfam family: Eukaryotic large subunit ribosomal RNA
Source: RNAcentral